GGCUAUGUAGCUCAGCUGGUUAGAGCAUCGCACUCAUAAUGCGGGGGUCACAGGUUCGAAUCCCGUCAUAGCCACCA
Molecule: transfer RNA, 77 nt
Filed under: Aeromonas veronii
Lineage: Bacteria; Pseudomonadati; Pseudomonadota; Gammaproteobacteria; Aeromonadales; Aeromonadaceae
Also listed under: 5 other names
Description: tRNA-Met
Rfam family: tRNA
About the family: Transfer RNA (tRNA) molecules are approximately 80 nucleotides in length.
Source: RNAcentral